This 397-nucleotide ribosomal RNA is filed under the name Coccinia grandis. RNAcentral describes it as "eukaryotic LSU rRNA". It matches the Rfam family "Eukaryotic large subunit ribosomal RNA", at positions 397 to 796 of the family's 3401-position model. The record is from RNAcentral. Lineage: Eukaryota; Viridiplantae; Streptophyta; Magnoliopsida; Cucurbitales; Cucurbitaceae.
GCUUGAAAUUGUCGGGAGGGAAGCGGAUGGGGGCCGGCGAUGUGCCCCAGUCGGAUGUGGAACGGUGACGAGCCGGUCCGCCGAUCGACUUGGGGCAUGGACCGAUGCGGAUUGAGACGGCGGCCUACGCCCAGGCCUUUGUUACGCCUGUGGAGACGUCGUCGUCCCGAUCGUGGCUGGCAGCGCGCGCCUCCGGGCGGGCUUCGGCAUCUGCGCGCUCCUGGCAUCGGCCUGUGGGCUCCCCAUUCGACCCGUCUUGAAACACGGACCAAGGAGUCUGACAUGUGUGCGAGUUAACGGGCGAGUAAACCCGUAAGGCGCAAGGAAGCUGACUGGUGGGAUCCCCUAGUGGGUUGCACCACCGACCGACCUUGAUCUUCUGAGAAGGGUUCGAGUG